Molecule: ribosomal RNA, 2078 nt
Filed under: Escherichia coli
Lineage: Bacteria; Pseudomonadati; Pseudomonadota; Gammaproteobacteria; Enterobacterales; Enterobacteriaceae
Description: partial 23S ribosomal RNA
Rfam family: Bacterial large subunit ribosomal RNA
Source: RNAcentral
AUAAUGGGUCAGCGACUUAUAUUCUGUAGCAAGGUUAACCGAAUAGGGGAGCCGAAGGGAAACCGAGUCUUAACUGGGCGUUAAGUUGCAGGGUAUAGACCCGAAACCCGGUGAUCUAGCCAUGGGCAGGUUGAAGGUUGGGUAACACUAACUGGAGGACCGAACCGACUAAUGUUGAAAAAUUAGCGGAUGACUUGUGGCUGGGGGUGAAAGGCCAAUCAAACCGGGAGAUAGCUGGUUCUCCCCGAAAGCUAUUUAGGUAGCGCCUCGUGAAUUCAUCUCCGGGGGUAGAGCACUGUUUCGGCAAGGGGGUCAUCCCGACUUACCAACCCGAUGCAAACUGCGAAUACCGGAGAAUGUUAUCACGGGAGACACACGGCGGGUGCUAACGUCCGUCGUGAAGAGGGAAACAACCCAGACCGCCAGCUAAGGUCCCAAAGUCAUGGUUAAGUGGGAAACGAUGUGGGAAGGCCCAGACAGCCAGGAUGUUGGCUUAGAAGCAGCCAUCAUUUAAAGAAAGCGUAAUAGCUCACUGGUCGAGUCGGCCUGCGCGGAAGAUGUAACGGGGCUAAACCAUGCACCGAAGCUGCGGCAGCGACGCUGAUGCGUUGUUGGGUAGGGGAGCGUUCUGUAAGCCUGUGAAGGUGUGCUGUGAGGCAUGCUGGAGGUAUCAGAAGUGCGAAUGCUGACAUAAGUAACGAUAAAGCGGGUGAAAAGCCCGCUCGCCGGAAGACCAAGGGUUCCUGUCCAACGUUAAUCGGGGCAGGGUGAGUCGACCCCUAAGGCGAGGCCGAAAGGCGUAGUCGAUGGGAAACAGGUUAAUAUUCCUGUACUUGGUGUUACUGCGAAGGGGGGACGGAGAAGGCUAUGUUGGCCGGGCGACGGUUGUCCCGGUUUAAGCGUGUAGGCUGGUUUUCCAGGCAAAUCCGGAAAAUCAAGGCUGAGGCGUGAUGACGAGGCACUACGGUGCUGAAGCAACAAAUGCCCUGCUUCCAGGAAAAGCCUCUAAGCAUCAGGUAACAUCAAAUCGUACCCCAAACCGACACAGGUGGUCAGGUAGAGAAUACCAAGGCGCUUGAGAGAACUCGGGUGAAGGAACUAGGCAAAAUGGUGCCGUAACUUCGGGAGAAGGCACGCUGAUAUGUAGGUGAAGUCCCUCGCGGAUGGAGCUGAAAUCAGUCGAAGAUACCAGCUGGCUGCAACUGUUUAUUAAAAACACAGCACUGUGCAAACACGAAAGUGGACGUAUACGGUGUGACGCCUGCCCGGUGCCGGAAGGUUAAUUGAUGGGGUCAGCGCAAGCGAAGCUCUUGAUCGAAGCCCCGGUAAACGGCGGCCGUAACUAUAACGGUCCUAAGGUAGCGAAAUUCCUUGUCGGGUAAGUUCCGACCUGCACGAAUGGCGUAAUGAUGGCCAGGCUGUCUCCACCCGAGACUCAGUGAAAUUGAACUCGCUGUGAAGAUGCAGUGUACCCGCGGCAAGACGGAAAGACCCCGUGAACCUUUACUAUAGCUUGACACUGAACAUUGAGCCUUGAUGUGUAGGAUAGGUGGGAGGCUUUGAAGUGUGGACGCCAGUCUGCAUGGAGCCGGCCUUGAAAUACCACCCUUUAAUGUUUGAUGUUCUAACGUUGACCCGUUAUCCGGGUUGCGGACAGUGUCUGGUGGGUAGUUUGACUGGGGCGGUCUCCUCCUAAAGAGUAACGGAGGAGCACGAAGGUUGGCUAAUCCUGGUCGGACAUCAGGAGGUUAGUGCAAUGGCAUAAGCCAGCUUGACUGCGAGCGUGACGGCGCGAGCAGGUGCGAAAGCAGGUCAUAGUGAUCCGGUGGUUCUGAAUGGAAGGGCCAUCGCUCAACGGAUAAAAGGUACUCCGGGGAUAACAGGCUGAUACCGCCCAAGAGUUCAUAUCGACGGCGGUGUUUGGCACCUCGAUGUCGGCUCAUCACAUCCUGGGGCUGAAGUAGGUCCCAAGGGUAUGGCUGUUCGCCAUUUAAAGUGGUACGCGAGCUGGGUUUAGAACGUCGUGAGACAGUUCGGUCCCUAUCUGCCGUGGGCGCUGGAGAACUGAGGGGGGCUGC